RNAcentral lists this transfer RNA (73 nucleotides) under Camelus bactrianus (Bactrian camel). It matches the Rfam family "tRNA". From Rfam's summary of the family: Transfer RNA (tRNA) molecules are approximately 80 nucleotides in length. Their secondary structure includes four short double-helical elements and three loops (D, anti-codon, and T loops). Further hydrogen bonds mediate the characteristic L-shaped molecular structure. tRNAs have two regions of fundamental functional importance: the anti-codon, which is responsible for specific mRNA codon recognition, and the 3' end, to which the tRNAs corresponding amino acid is attached (by aminoacyl-tRNA synthetases). tRNAs cope with the degeneracy of the genetic code in two manners: having more than one tRNA (with a specific anti-codon) for a particular amino acid; and 'wobble' base-pairing, i.e. permitting non-standard base-pairing at the 3rd anti-codon position. RNAcentral also lists the same sequence under 2 other names. Lineage: Eukaryota; Metazoa; Chordata; Mammalia; Artiodactyla; Camelidae. The record is from Rfam by way of RNAcentral.
GAAGGUUACAGCUCAGUGGUAGAGCUCAUGCUUAGCAUGUACAAGGUCCUGGGUUCAAUCCCCAGUACCUCCA